UGAUGACGAUGCACCCCACAUAGGGUUGAGAAAGAAUUCAUUUCUGUCUCUGGUGUGUGUUUGGAGAACAGGGUCCUCUGUAUGCCUUUUCCCGGCGGGAGUGGGGAACCCAGGCGGCCCCCAGGUGCUCGUCUAGGGAUGUGCUCGGAGGAUGGCGAGGCUCAGAGGAAGAUCAAUGCUGGCUGCUGGGUGUGGACUUCAGAUGGUGGGCAAGGAAGCUCACACUUUUCCUCCUCUGCACAAGGCGAUUCUGACCGUUGAAACUUUUCUCCUCAGGUAUGGGUCUUGCUCCAUGGAGGAAGAUGACAGCUCGGGAAGGGAGCAACCUCGGUGAUGAGCACUCGCAGGAACUGUGAGGGGCGGCUCUGUGAGCAGCUUUGUGGUGAUUUAUGGGAGUCGGGGGCUGCCGGAGAGGGAUGUGGGUGCCAUCAGCUCGGUGGAUUAAAUGCCCAUUUACAUUGUUAUUGACAUAUAAAGUAUCGGUGCCAAGGAGACGGUGAGGGAAAGGAUUUCUGGGGCAGUGAUGUGGCGCAUGCCCCAGGAUAUGGACUCGUCUCUCCCCAAAUCUGUCCUCUGGGCACUCAGGAGGCCAGGACUGGAGCUGGAGUAAAAGUCCCAAAUCCCAGCUCUCACAAUGCCGGAGCAGCCACCCUCAUUGCUAAGGCAGUGAUGGCAAGAGAGGUCCCUGAGUGGGUUUGAAGAAACCGGGGAGGCCUUUGACAAGGUCGUGUGGAUUUCCUCGGCUGGCAGGAGCCGCGUCUGGCCGCCUGCAUGCAUCGCUUUUGCCUGGGUUCUUUUAUUCCACUGUGGAUUUGGAAGCACCGCUGAAGAAGAGAGGGAAUUUUAUUCCUGGGAAAUGGAAUCGGUUUCUGAGUCCAGCCAGCAGCAGAAGAGAAAACUGGUUACCCACGGACUGGAAGAUCAAAAGAGGGAGUUAUUUAGUUAAAAAGGAAGAAACCAAACUAUAUAAACUCUUUUGGGGAGCUUUGCCUGCAUUGGCUGUGACAUUGAACAUCUCUCAUCACCCUGUGUGGAUGUUGACUUGGACAGUGGGAGAGACAAAGACAAAUGUGAGUUGACACAGGGUGUCCGUG
This 1094-nucleotide long non-coding RNA is filed under the name Capra hircus (goat). Its description in RNAcentral is "lncRNA (ENSCHIG00000002301.1)". The record is from RNAcentral. Lineage: Eukaryota; Metazoa; Chordata; Mammalia; Artiodactyla; Bovidae.